UGGAAUAGCUCAUCGGUAGAGCGCUUGCCUUGAGAGCAAAAUGUAGCGGGUUCAAAUCCCGCUUCCACUC
This 70-nucleotide transfer RNA is filed under the name Deltaproteobacteria bacterium. RNAcentral describes it as "tRNA-Ser". It matches the Rfam family "tRNA". From Rfam's summary of the family: Transfer RNA (tRNA) molecules are approximately 80 nucleotides in length. Lineage: Bacteria; Pseudomonadati; Myxococcota; Myxococcia. The record is from RNAcentral.